This 759-nucleotide ribosomal RNA is filed under the name uncultured sediment bacterium. Its description in RNAcentral is "bacterial SSU rRNA". It matches the Rfam family "Bacterial small subunit ribosomal RNA", at positions 8 to 756 of the family's 1533-position model. The record is from RNAcentral.
AGAGUUUGAUCAUGGCUCAGAUUGAACGCUGGCGGCAUGCCUAACACAUGCAAGUCGAACGGUAACGACGGGAGCUUGCUCCCGGGCGACGAGUGGCGGACGGGUGAGUAAUACUUAGGAAUCUGCCCAGUAGUGGGGGACAACUCGAGGAAACUCGAGCUAAUACCGCAUACGCCCUACGGGGGAAAGCGGAGGAUCCUUCGGGACUUCGCGCUAUUGGAUGAGCCUAAGUCGGAUUAGCUUGUUGGUGGGGUAAAGGCCUACCAAGGCAACGAUCUGUAGCUGGUCUGAGAGGACGAUCAGCCACACUGGGACUGAGACACGGCCCAGACUCCUACGGGAGGCAGCAGUGGGGAAUAUUGGACAAUGGGGGCAACCCUGAUCCAGCAAUGCCGCGUGUGUGAAGAAGGCCUGCGGGUUGUAAAGCACUUUCAGUAGAGAAGAAAUGCCCAUGGUUAAUACCCGUGGGUCUUGACGUAACCUACAGAAGAAGCACCGGCUAACUCCGUGCCAGCAGCCGCGGUAAUACGGAGGGUGCGAGCGUUAAUCGGAAUUACUGGGCGUAAAGCGCGCGUAGGCGGUUUGGUCAGUCGGAUGUGAAAGCCCUAGGCUCAACCUGGGAAUGGCAUUCGAUACUGCCUGACUAGAGUAUGGUAGAGGGAAGUGGAAUUUCCGGUGUAGCGGUGAAAUGCGUAGAUAUCGGAAGGAACACCAGUGGCGAAGGCGACUUCCUGGGCCAAUACUGACGCUGAGGUGCGA